GUAGAUAUAGUUUAUUUAAAACGUCAGGGUGUGGACCUGGCAAAAGGAGUUAAAACCCCCUUAUCUGCC
Molecule: transfer RNA, 69 nt
Filed under: Evoxymetopon poeyi (Poey's scabbardfish)
Lineage: Eukaryota; Metazoa; Chordata; Actinopteri; Scombriformes; Trichiuridae
Description: tRNA-His
Rfam family: tRNA
About the family: Transfer RNA (tRNA) molecules are approximately 80 nucleotides in length.
Source: RNAcentral